RNAcentral lists this ribosomal RNA (1389 nucleotides) under 'Colpoptera sp.' lethal yellowing phytoplasma. Its description in RNAcentral is "bacterial SSU rRNA". It matches the Rfam family "Bacterial small subunit ribosomal RNA". Lineage: Bacteria; Bacillati; Mycoplasmatota; Mollicutes; Acholeplasmatales; Acholeplasmataceae. The record is from RNAcentral.
CAUGCAAGUCGAACGGAAAUCUUUUAGAUUUUAGUGGCGAACGGGUGAGUAACACGUAAGCAACCUGCCUUUAAGACGAGAAUAACAAUUGGAAACAGUUGCUAAGGCUGGAUAGGAAAUAAAAAGGAAUCUUUUUAUUUUUAAAAGACCUUUUUCGGAAGGUAUGCUUAAAGAGGGGCUUGCGUCACAUUAGUUAGUUGGUAGGGUAAAGGCCUACCAAGACGAUGAUGUGUAGCUGGACUGAGAGGUUGAACAGCCACAUUGGGACUGAGACACGGCCCAAACUCCUACGGGAGGCAGCAGUAGGGAAUUUUCGGCAAUGGAGGAAACUCUGACCGAGCAACGCCGCGUGAACGACGAAGUACUUCGGUAUGUAAAGUUCUUUUAUUGAAGAAGAAACAAUAGUGGAAAAACUAUCUUGACGUUACUCAAUGAAUAAGCCCCGGCUAACUAUGUGCCAGCAGCCGCGGUAAUACAUAGGGGGCGAGCGUUAUCCGGAAUUAUUGGGCGUAAAGGGUGCGUAGGCGGUUUAAUAAGUCUCUAGUUUAAUUUCAACGCUUAACGUUGUCCUGCUAGAGAAACUGUUUAACUAGAGUGAGAUAGAGGUAAGCGGAAUUCCAUGUGUAGCGGUAAAAUGUGUAAAUAUAUGGAGGAACACCAGAGGCGUAGCGGCUUACUGGGUCUUUACUGACGCUGAUGCACGAAAGCGUGGGGGAGCGAACAGGAUUAGAUACCCUGGUAGUCCACGCCGUAAACUAUGAGUACUAAGUGUCGGGGUUAAACUCGGUACUGAAGUUAACACAUUAAGUACUCCGCCUGAGUAGUACGUACGCAAGUAUGAAACUUAAAGGAAUUGACGGGAUCCCGCACAAGCGGUGGAUCAUGUUGUUUAAUUCGAAGAUACACGAAAAACCUUACCAGGUCUUGACAUACUCUGCAAAGCUAUAGAAAUAUAGUGGAGGUUAUCAGGGAUACAGGUGGUGCAUGGUUGUCGUCAGCUCGUGUCGUGAGAUGUUAGGUUAAGUUCUAAAACGAGCGCAACCCCUGUCGUUAAUUGCCAGCACGUUAUGGUGGGGACUUUAGCGAGACUGCCAAUGAAAAAUUGGAGGAAGGUGGGGAUUACGUCAAAUCAUCAUGCCCCUUAUGAUCUGGGCUACAAACGUGAUACAAUGGCUAUUACAAAGAGUAGCUGAAACGCGAGUUUUCGGCAAAUCUCAAAGAAAUAGUCUCAGUUCGGAUUGAAGUCUGCAACUCGACUUCAUGAAGUUGGAAUCGCUAGUAAUCGCGAAUCAGCAUGUCGCGGUGAAUACGUUCUCGGGGUUUGUACACACCGCCCGUCAAACCACGAAAGUGGACAAUACCCGAAAGCGACAGCCUAACUGCGUAAGC